GUAUUUCUGUCGAUCAAAAACAACAGGGGGAGGGAUAAAUCGUUUAUAAAUUCGUUUAUAAUGUAUUUCAACGGUUUUGGUGCACCUCUCGUGUGUCCUAAUGAUGUAAAAAUGUGUCACGCGUGCAUCGUUUAUUUAUUCCGUGUCUUGGGCGUGAUGAAAUGAUUAUCGAGAGAAAAAUGUUCAAUUACCAAACUGGACUCGUCUGGGGAAGCCAAACUUAGCAACAGCACGCUCACGUUCACGGUCAAGGUUCCUGGAACACAGUGCACCAUUGAAAUUAAAGUUCACCAGGCGUCUCGUUCGAAGCGGUUCAUCAAGAAGAGCACGCUAAUUCGAAAGAAAACAUUCUUCGGAGGGGAGACAUCUCGCGUCGGGAAAGGAAUAAUUAGAUAACUUUUUUCAAAUUAAACAUCGUUUGCAUAAAUAUCGAUAUUUAUCGAUCGCGAGAUUUUCGAGUCGCGUUCUUUCGGAAUAAAAGUUUCAAAGUUAAAAUUUUCGGUUUAAAUUCGAUAUCUGUACCACAAUAUUUAAAGAUCGUUUUAAAAUGAAACCACUAUUUAUGAAGGAAUGCACAAUUUUCAAGCAUUUCAGGUUGAGAAUCACAGGAGUCUUGUUUAAAUGUACAAAAUAACCAGUAGAAUAUUAGCGACUGCGCAUGAUGAUGUUUCUAACGUAUUUCGUAGCUCGACGUUUCUGAUUGGUCGAUUUGGUAGACCAAUCAUAAACCUCGAAACUUUUAUUUCAAAAGAACACGGUUCAUACUCGAAAACCGGAACGAUAUAUCGAUUUAAUUUAUUUGAAGCAGUGGCAAAAAGCAAAAAAAAAUAAUCUCGAUUCUUUCCCUGACUCGAGCGAGUGUGAUUUCUAAAAAUACAAAUCACGUGGUCGAUCAACGUAUGGUAUUAUCCGACCAAUUAAACUCGAUCUCAAAAAUUAACAUAUUUUUCUCUCUCUACGCGAGCGUAAGCCAGAUUACUGUUAUUGCGUAAGCGUAAUUAGAGCCAUGCUGUGCACAUGCCGCGACUAAAUUCAUGUUUUUGUAUUUCGUGUGAAAAGCACGCAAACUCGGAGAGUUAGGACUCGAAGAACCGGUCGUCGAAGAGGCGCGACACAACGAUGUGACGUUCGAUAGAGAAAGAGGAUCGCUCGCAAAACAGAUAACGGAAACGGGAAACGGAAACGGAGAUAGAAUUGGGAACGGAGGAGCGAAAGGAAACGAAAGUGAUCGUUGCUGCGAUGCUCAAACUGCGCGUUUCAAUUUAGUUUGCCACGUCUAAUCGAUAAUGUAGGAUUGUGAAGUAUCCUUCGAGUGAAACGGCCAAUUACCACGUGUGUCAUGCGUCCUAACGAGUCCCAACCACCGAUUCGAUAAUUUGCCAACACAUUCAACUACGAAAAAGAAAGAUACGUGAGAGACCGCGAGUGUGUAUAUGUACGUGUGUAUGUGUAUGUGUGUCUAUUUAAAGUACGCCGAUGUGUGAGAUAUACGGUGGGUGGAAAUAUGGAAUAAGGAUGGAAGUAUAGUGAUUAUUCAGAAAUCGUAUCGACGAUCGAGGAACAGUCUGUUGGCACCAGCUAUCUUUUCGCACCGAAUUUACGAAAAAUCUGUAUACGUUAUCUUACGAGAGAACAUUCGUCUAACCUGAUUUUAAUUAAAUCCGUACGUCCAUAAUAUGAAUUAUUAUUGUUUCUUUUUUCCAAUCAAUCUUCGAUUCUUUGAACAAUUUCUCUCGGAAACAUUUUUUUUCAACGAGGGUAGAGAUUAAAAAAAAAAAAAUACCGAUGUUUAGAAAUAGAAUAUUUGAAUUAUUAAAAUUAUAACGCAUUACAUACUCGCAAAAUACUCGCAAAUUUCGUGUAAAAUAGAAUUAAAAUAGAAAAUAGAAUCGUCGCUUUCGAUAAAAUGAUACUCGUUCCCGCGCACAAGACUCGAAGAAUUUCGCGACCGAAAUCUAUCUUUUCAGCUAUAGUUAUAACUCCGCUUUCGAAAUAUAUAUAUUCGCACAUUUCAAUUACGCUGCAAUGAAAAAUAGAAAAAAAAAAAAAAAAAACAAAAUCGAUCGACGCGUUAGCGAACACAAAGCUAGUUUUUUGAUAACAACCGGUGUGUGUAUGUGUGUAUGUGUGUAUCAUUAUGCCGAUGAACGAGCAUUAAUCGGUGGGGCACAUCGAACACGAACCGGACUAAAGAAAAUAACGUUAGAUAUUUAACGUUGUGUAUCUUGCGUCGGUCGAGAGAAGAGAGUGGUUAGCGAGAAACAAGCAAUCGACGACAGUGGCGCCUCUUUUGUCGCCUCAAUUGGAAAACGGUUCCGUGGCGGACGAAAGCGAGGGAGACACCGACGAUGCACACACGCGAUUUCGAAACCUCGCUUUCCUUCUCGCAUCCGCUCUGUGAACAAACGAGGUGCCGGCGCUCGAGGGCGUCGUGGCAACUUUCCACGUUUCCUCCAAUAGGGGAUUCUUUUGUCACGAGUUUCUCUCUGAAAAGAUGAAACGUUGCCUUUCCGGAUAGCCGCUUUACACGGAAAAAAAAAGAAAGUAAAAAAAAAAAAAGAAAAAAUAAAAAAUCACUUGUGUCGAAAUAUUAGUUUAUUAACUGAUCGGUAUCACGUGACACUUCGAGCUCUUCGUCGCAUUGCUUAUUAAUAGACUAUAUGGACUUUUACGACAUAAAUGAAUAAUAUUAUAUAUUUUUCUUUCGAUAUUAAUUCGUAUUUGUACGAUAAUAUUACAAGUAAUUUGUUAAGAAGAAUAAUUAAGAAUUUAUUAAUUUUAUAAAAUUUAAUCAAUUUUCACGAAACUUUGAUAAAUCAUAUGAUUAUGUAAUUUUAAUUUUUUUCUUAUCUUUUCUUCAUAUUGUAAAAUUAAACAUGGCCAAGAUGUACAUUCUCAUCGAACGUGUUAAUUACUUAACUACUAUUGUAUUUUGAAAUUGGAUCAAGUGAAUUUGCACGUGUCAAUUUAGAAUAGAUAUUUAUGCUCGCCUCAUCCAAAGUCGCACCAAUAUUAUUGUACUUCAAACGUAUCUCGAACAUCUGCAUACUUCGGGCACGAGAUUUGGCACGUAACAAGCGUUUCCAUCGCGAACAUCUUGGCAUAGCGGGCCUCUUCAGGAAUGUUUAAUUAAUAUUGCUUAGUUAAAUUGCAUCAAAGUUACGUGUUGGCCGAGAAAUCAAGAAUUUAAAAAUGUUUCAAAAAUACAAUAACGAAUUUCAAAUUUUUUCGAAUCAUACUUCGUUUCACUUAUCCAUAUUAUCCUUACUUGUUCGAGAUUAGAGAGGAGACGAUUUUUCUCGAUUUAUUCGCCUUGUUAAUUUUUUUUUCUUCUUAUUUUACGAUCGAUCGAAAAUCUUCUUCGACAAAAUUAAUCAAUUAUAAUUUAUCCAAUUACACGUAUAAUAAUAUAUCUCGCUAUUAUUUUCGCGACAUCGGUUUAAUCGUUCAACACGUAAAAAACUUGGACAAUUACAGAUAAUUCCGGGUGUAACAAAAACACUGCUAAUCGGAGAAAACACGUUGAAUUAUCGAGAAACGAUCGACGGAUAUCGUGGAUAUCGAGAAUGAGAGUGAAGAAUUGCUCGAAGAACAAACAAAGGCGUACAAAUCGUACAAAACUACUGUACAUAAUUAUUUCGAGUGAGUUUGCUUACGCGUGCUAGCUGCAAACUACUAGAGCUGGCAUCGCAACGAUCUUUUUAACCGUAAUCUCUGCCUCUGAAUUUAAAUUACAAGCCUCUCCCUACAAUGCAAAAAGCUCGUCCAAGCGGAAUUCGUUCCUCGUGUAAAGAGAAACGAAUGGCCGAAUUUAGGCGGAUCCGUUUCGGUUUUUUGCUCUCCCUUCCUUCCUUCCUCCCCCCUCUCUUGCCUCCUCCUUGCUCUCUCUUCGAAUCCACGUCGCUCGUCGGCCAGAAAAUAACCAAUCCGGUUCCAAGAUACGCGGACGCGUAUCGAAAACAGUUUCUCUCUUGUUUGUUUAAAUGAUUAAUCGGCUGGAGCCAAGUCAAUUUACGUUUCGAGCGAAUCUCUCCCGUGUUUAUCCAUCGGUUCGGGUUCACAUAAAGCGUGGUCGCAAAUAUUUUCACGUGACGCGGGAAACACGGUCGUAAACUUUAUUGCUUAAUUUUUCUCGACUGUUCGCUUUGUUAAUUUUCGAUAAUUAAAAGGGAGACGGAUAGGACGGUUAAAAAAUUUUUCGUCAUUAAAUCGAAUCGAGGAAGAUGAACAGCAAAAAAAUAGGCAAAAUACUCUCACUCUGUUCCAUCUGUUCUGCCGUUACAUUCUGAAGCAUAAUAAAGAAUAAAGUUACUUCGAUAAUUUUUUGUUCAAAGCAAUAAUAAUAAUAAUAAUUGCAAAUAAUCGUGAUGCGAAAUUGUCGAGUUUAUGUAUUAUAAAAAGCUGAUCGAUUGUAAUAAUUACGAGGAAUAAAUGUUACUUAAGCGUAAUUAAAUAAUUAAUAUCGCUUAAACUUUCCUAUCCGAAAGUUUUAACUUUUUCAACGGAGUUAAGCCGCUUAAUUCUGUCUCGCGUGCACACGUUGUUAUUAUUGGAUAAAAUUCUACGAUGGAACGACGAUGGUUUUACAGCCUAUUGACGUAAAGCCUCUCGAUCAAACAAAUUCGUUAGUCCAUAUACUUUACAAUUCACAACCCAUCGCCAGUGUGAAAUCAUUCUAUUUCUGUCUCGACACGCGCAUCAUUGACCUUUAUCACCUCAAUUCGAUCCGUCUUCCCGUUUAUCUCUCUUCUUUAUCGACCGAUCCACCGUGUCGACGUUCGAUGACAGGCUUUACACUCAUAUCGACAAAUUUUUUUUUUUUUUAAUUAUCUCCAUCUUUGUCACUGUCCCCUCUGCCAAUAACAACAACGCGCGUGACAACAGAGGAAACGCGUGGAACAGAGAGCACUUUCAAACGCAAAUACGCGAAUUCGUACGAUGGAUUAAAGCGUUAUCCUCAUUUUCUCGAGAGGAAAUCCGCGGUCGAUGACGAGAGAGGUGGAAUUCGAUUUUCCAAAGCUGUAUUCGUAAACAGUGAUGGAGAGGCGGCAUCGGUCAGACGGGUCGCCCCAUUCGGCCAGUUUCGUCACUUCGGUAUCGAAACGGAUCAGAUCUCUCUCUCUCUCUCUCUCUCUCUCAUUCAUACCCUUUUCUUUCACUCCAUCUCCAUCCUUCUUAUUACUUAUUAUUUUUAACCUCUCCCCCCUCCUUUUAUAUCAUUCCAACUCUCUUUCUCUCAUAUUCGUAUUCAUCGACAAGCGCAACUCUUUCGUUCUACUUUCAUAACGAUCUUUUCAAGCAAAAACGCGCAAACUCAGUCGACGCAGGCACGCAACGCACGCGAAGUAGUAAGUAAGUAAGUAAGUAAGUAAGUAAGUAAGUAAGUAAGUAAGUAA
Apis cerana (Asiatic honeybee) is the source of this 5396-nucleotide long non-coding RNA. RefSeq lists it as uncharacterized. The record is from RefSeq and is a predicted model, not a curated record. NCBI's taxonomy places the organism in Eukaryota, Metazoa, Arthropoda, Insecta, Hymenoptera, Apidae.